UGUUCUGUGGCUUAGUUGAUCAAAGCGUCGAUCUAGCGAAUACGGAGUCGUGGGUUUAAAUCCCAUCAGAACAC
This is a non-coding RNA of Aedes albopictus (Asian tiger mosquito), 74 nucleotides long. The record is from Rfam. NCBI's taxonomy places the organism in Eukaryota, Metazoa, Arthropoda, Insecta, Diptera, Culicidae.